AUAAAAAUGUACCCAAUAGUUGAACGUUGGGUAUCAUAAUCACCUAUAUAGUUAGCAUCAAAAUGACUAACUAGCUUACAAUCUCCACAUUUCUUAUAUAAAAUGUCAUAGCUAAGUGCACUUUUUCCAUAUCUUAGAAUUUUUCGUACUGCUUCUAAAUGAGUUUCUUUGAAUUUUCAUGUGUUAACUCAUCACAUCGACUGCGUAAGAAAUAAUAACUCUGGUUAAAUUAAG
RNAcentral lists this long non-coding RNA (234 nucleotides) under Carica papaya (papaya). RNAcentral's name for it is "long non-coding RNA (CPAP_LNC003273)". Lineage: Eukaryota; Viridiplantae; Streptophyta; Magnoliopsida; Brassicales; Caricaceae. The record is from RNAcentral.